ACCACCCCAUUACGAACCCAAAAAAGGUAAUCUAUUCUGUAGUAUAAUACUGAACUCUUACCCAGUAUAUAAUUAUCAUCUUCACAUAAAUUUCUAGCAGACACUGUUUGAUUCAGAGGACUGAACAGAACAACUCAAGUCAGCAACAUACGCUGAAACUGAUAAAUUACGGUUUCCUAAGAAAUGGGUUAAUGGGCCUUAUGUCAAACCGACCAUUUCAAAUUUUAAGAAUACAUUACCAGUUUGAAGUGAAACACCCAAUAACAGUGGACCCUAAGAGCAGCA
Molecule: long non-coding RNA, 285 nt
Filed under: Brassica rapa (field mustard)
Lineage: Eukaryota; Viridiplantae; Streptophyta; Magnoliopsida; Brassicales; Brassicaceae
Description: long non-coding RNA (BRAP_LNC001411)
Source: RNAcentral